RNAcentral lists this small nuclear RNA (141 nucleotides) under Mastacembelus armatus (zig-zag eel). RNAcentral describes it as "U4 spliceosomal RNA (ENSMAMG00000028710.1)". It matches the Rfam family "U4 spliceosomal RNA". Rfam says of the family: U4 small nuclear RNA (U4 snRNA) is a component of the major U2-dependent spliceosome. The structure of U4 snRNA from yeast and human has been reported. The record is from Rfam by way of RNAcentral. Lineage: Eukaryota; Metazoa; Chordata; Actinopteri; Synbranchiformes; Mastacembelidae.
AUCCUUUCGCAGUGGCAGUAUCGUAGCUUAUGAGGUUUGUCUGAGGCACGAUUGUUGCUAGUUGAAAACUUUACCCAAUACCCCGCCUUGACGACUUGAAAUAUAGUUGGUCAUUGCGAUUUUUGAUGGUCUCUAAGGAGA